ACGGUCCUACGGGAGGCAGCAGUGAGGAAUAUUGGUCAAUGGCCGAGAGGCUGAACCAGCCAAGUCGCGUGAGGGAUGACGGCCCUACGGGUUGUAAACCUCUUUUGUCGGGGAGCAAAGAGAGUCACGUGUGGCUCAUUGAGAGUACCCGAAGAAAAAGCAUCGGCUAACUCCGUGCCAGCAGCCGCGGUAAUACGGAGGAUGCGAGCGUUAUCCGGAUUUAUUGGGUUUAAAGGGUGCGCAGGCGGAGGUGCAAGUCAGUGGUCAAAUUGCGGGGCUCAACCCCGUACUGCCGUUGAAACUGC
This 305-nucleotide ribosomal RNA is filed under the name uncultured bacterium. RNAcentral's name for it is "bacterial SSU rRNA". It matches the Rfam family "Bacterial small subunit ribosomal RNA", at positions 333 to 636 of the family's 1533-position model. The record is from RNAcentral.